Molecule: ribosomal RNA, 395 nt
Filed under: Pantoea sp.
Lineage: Bacteria; Pseudomonadati; Pseudomonadota; Gammaproteobacteria; Enterobacterales; Erwiniaceae
Description: bacterial SSU rRNA
Rfam family: Bacterial small subunit ribosomal RNA
Source: RNAcentral
GCACAGAGGAGCUUGCUCCUUGGGUGACGAGUGGCGGACGGGUGAGUAAUGUCUGGGGAUCUGCCCGAUAGAGGGGGAUAACCACUGGAAACGGUGGCUAAUACCGCAUAACGUCGCAAGACCAAAGAGGGGGACCUUCGGGCCUCUCACUAUCGGAUGAACCCAGAUGGGAUUAGCUAGUAGGCGGGGUAAUGGCCCACCUAGGCGACGAUCCCUAGCUGGUCUGAGAGGAUGACCAGCCACACUGGAACUGAGACACGGUCCAGACUCCUACGGGAGGCAGCAGUGGGGAAUAUUGCACAAUGGGCGCAAGCCUGAUGCAGCCAUGCCGCGUGUAUGAAGAAGGCCUUCGGGUUGUAAAGUACUUUCAGCGGGGAGGAAGGCGAUGCGGUUAA